Molecule: long non-coding RNA, 14199 nt
Filed under: Nicotiana tabacum (common tobacco)
Lineage: Eukaryota; Viridiplantae; Streptophyta; Magnoliopsida; Solanales; Solanaceae
Description: long non-coding RNA (NTAB_LNC002595)
Source: RNAcentral
UCAUUUCCACCUUCUUUAUCUCUCAACUCGUCUCUCUCACUCUCACAGCCGCUGUCCGCCACCCGCAUGGAAUCGCCUAUGGCGGCGGCGACACUCCAAAUCAUCCCAAAUCUUUACCCUAUACUCCCCACACCCUCCUAAACCUUAUCCUACAAUUAAUUCCCCAAAAUCCCCACCUAUAUUCACCAAUUUCCAAUCUCAAAAACCCUAAAACCCAAAUUUUUUCUUUUUUGAUUUUUGAGAGCAAAUUCACCCGUUUUGACUAAAGACUUAUAUUGGUCAAUUGUUCUUAACAAGAACAAUUGGUUAAUGUUGGUUUUGUGUUAUUUCAAAACUCGCCAGAUUCCGUCCAAGUCAACACUGACCGGCUGAGCUUCGUCGCCUUCAUCGUUCGUCGAUUCGCUUCGUUCGUCGACUCAUUUCUCGGCCAAAAUUAUUAUAUCUCUUCUCUUAUUCCUUGUUUUUCUAUUUUUGGUGUUGCAUUAUUAAUUAGGAGUUAAUUUUGAAUAGCUUGGUUAUUGAUUUGAUUAAGUUCAUUAAAAUUAGGAUUAUGUAGGUUAAUUGCAUUAUUUUAGGAUUAAUAUCUUUAUGUUUAUCAUUUUUGUUUGAUUUUCUGUUUUGGCUACAUUUCAUAUAAGUAUGUUUGUUUUUUAUGCCUUAAUUGAAACUUAAGGGGGGGGGGGUCUAAAGGAACAUGGAAACUUAGGGUAUUAUAAAUCAGAAAUUAGGUCAAAAUUGGGGUGACUAUUUGUAUUAAGUAGAAUUUAGGGAGGUUAACUAGACAGUAAAGAUGAGAAAUUUCAGAUAAGCAUACAAGAAGCUUCUAGAUCUUGGACAGUUGACCAUUUUUAGUUUUAAAAGAUGCUGAAAUUUGAAUGAAUUAUUUAGAAACAAGGACAAUUGCCAAUUUUCUUUUUUGAAAGAUGCUAAUUUCCUAAAUUUAAGGGAGGCUGACAGAUUCUCUCGACCUCUCUCUCAUUCCCAUCAUCUUUCAUUCUCACAUUCUAUAAAAAAAAGACUCACACUCUCUCAUUCACACACUUUUCACUCAGCAUUUUUCUCUCAAUUACACUCAAGAACACACACUAAUUCUCUACAAGAUACACAAAAAGCACUCACACAUAUAGAUUGAUUUUUCUUGAAAUUUUAGAAAAUUCUUCAAAAGAAAAAAAGAAAAGAAAAAGGAACAGAAGUCAUUUGGCUUCAGGUUUUCACUAGUUUUUUGGUUCUUUUCCUUUGGUUGAACUUUUGGAUUUGUGCUCCUGAUUUAAAGCUGUUAUCUUGCUGAUAUUCUUGCUGAUUCAGAGACUUAUUUUUUGGUUUUCUAUUGUUUUUCUUGGCAAUCAGGUACACCUCUAUGAUUCUGUACAAUUAUGAUCUUUAGAAUAAUCAAAGUUUUCUAUUUUAAUAUGAAGUUAUGACUCUUUGUUUCUCUUAUAUGAUUUUAUGUAUGUUUGUUAGUUGAUUGGUCCAUAUUUGAACUUAUCUCUUUGACAUAGUCCUUAUUUUAUAUAAAAAUACAAGCUAAAGUAAAAUUGUUGUUUAAGUUUGGUUUCCUGAAGCAUAAGCAUAUCUUAUUGCAUUUAUAGGGCUAUUACUUUGCUUAAUAUUACUUGCUAAAAGUGAAAUUCAUGUGUUCAGAAUCAUAAGCACAUCGGUUGUUUGUGUAAAGGUGAGAAGCAUCACAUUGCAAUCAAAAGCAUUUGGAAGUUUAGCAUAUAUGUGAUUCACAUAUUUAGGCUUUGAAUGUUUGAGAUUAAGUUGUCUGAUUCCAAAAGACAUGAGAAGAAGUAGUGUAAUUUUGGUAACACCUAGUUCUAGUAUGUAUGAAGGAUGAUUGUUUAUUGUAAACUCAGAAUUUGCAAAAUAUCUGGGUAUAAUAGCUUAAGUCUAUUGUUUUGUGUGAUGUCUUAAGUUUGCAUUUUUUACUCCCUGUUUUGAAUUUUGGACUCCAGUGCUUCUGAAAUUGAAUAUUGAGGUAAUGGUUUGUUUGAGCUAAGUAUUUAAGAGUCAAAUCCUUUCAUGAGGCAACUCGUUAAUCACACGAUGUUCUAAGAUUAAUCCCAUAAUUUCGAUUGUUGCUUAUAACUGUUUCCAUGUUAGGUUGAAAUACUGAUUUUUAAUUUAUUUUGGCUGCAAACUGUGCAUUGAUUAGUUUUACUGCUACUAAUGGAGGAACUAUUUCAAUAGAGCAAGUCCAUAGGUUCAAAAUGCCAUUAUUAGGAGUCAGGCGUAUAGCGAGUUGUUUAAAAAGAUUUAAACUAAAUAUGGCCAUUACUGAUCCCUUUAAAUUUGGAGCAGUCAUGCAUUGAUGUUUGAGUAAAUUUGCACUUAUAUUCUAUGUGCUUUCAUAAAAUUGUGUGGAACGGUCAUUAGAAUCAUUAGGUUCAGUAGUAAUGACAGUCUUCAAAAUUUUGUGACAUUUGCACCUCUGGGCGCAGCUUAGGCCCGUUUGGUAAUUUAUGGCUUCAUUGCUGAAGUUUAGUCUCAACCAUGAAUUGCAAUGUUAUUGGGCCUUCCAGUAGGCCCAUUUACGCUCACUUUAAUUGUUGGGCAUUUAGUGUGGGCACUUAAUUGAGUUUAGCUCAUAACACCACUUACUAUCAUCGGCUAGUUUAGAUUCCUUUAAUUAGCAAAAAUAUAACAAAUAGUUGCGAACUAGAACAGGGAGGUAACUCACGAUUUUCUUAAUCAUAUUUUAUCACCAAGUUUUUGUCUUCUCCUAUUAAAAAUUCAAAUAACCAUCAUUCAUUGGGCUUAGGCGUGCUUACACAAAUUUUUCAAAACAAUUGCAUAAUCAAUGGCGUCACAAUAAUCUCAAGUUAGCUUUAGGAAAAAAUAAUAAUUCAUGAACAUCGUAGCUUACUUUAGGCGUGAUUAAUAAAUCAUCGUGGCCAUGCGUACGGUUUCUGUGGCAUAGUCACGUUACGUAAAUCCCAAUUUGGGUGUGCAUUUUAUGUGACCCGACCAUAACUUCGAAUAAUAAUAAAAUAAACAUGUUGUAAGUCGCGGGUGCAUUUCACGUGAUGUGAUUUGCAAAAUGUACAAAAACAAACAAGUGAUCGAUAUCGCGACCUGUUUCAAAUAAAUUCCAUAAUUGUUUAAAAUAAUUAAAAGCAGAUAAAAGGUUAAAAAAUACACAAUAAGUUUAAAAUAUGUGUUAAAUUAGAUAAUUAGGCCAAUUAUUAAUAGUUGAGUGACCGUGCUAAAAUUAUGGAACUCGGGAGUGCCUAACACCUCCUCACAGGUUAAUAGAAUUCCUUACUCGGUCUUCUGUGUUCGCGAACCAAAAAUAGAGUCAAAAUUUCCUCGAUUUGGGAUUUAAAAUAAAUCGGUGACUUGGGACACCAUAAAUUAUCCCAAGUGGUGACUCUAAAUAAAUAAAUAAUCCCAUUUCGAUUAAUGUUACUUUAAUUGGAAAACAUCCCUAUCCCCUCGGAAAAAACGAGGUGUGAUAGCUCGGGUGACUCUGCUGGGGAGUAGAACCCAAAAUCUCUGGUUCAGGGUUUAGAAUUCGAGUUUAGAAUAACUGUGAUACUUGGCUUUUGUUUAUUAUCUUAUUUUUAUAUUUUUGAGCCUAAUGUGUUAAAUGCCGCUUUUUACCGCUUUUAUAUUAUUUGAACUAUAUAUAAAACUGUUACGAAUCCCUCUUCUCUCUGAGUCUUCUAAAUCUUCUGGGGCGUGUGCGCUUUGCGUGUCUUCUUUUCUUUUAGAGUCAUAUCCCAAUUUUAGAACGAGGUUCAGACAAGUUGCAAAGCCGGUGAAACUUCUGUAUUCCGAUACGUUGCCCCCACCCCCGACUCGAGUUGUCUGCUCGGGUAAGCCAAGUUUAGAACAAUACACCCAAUUUUAAACCUAGAAUAAUAUAGCCUCAUGCCGGAUCCCUAGCAGAAACGCUUGUUUGCAUAACGUACAUUUGACUUUGGGGACUCAACACAGAGGUUGGGUCCGUCUAGGACAGGUGUACCCAAAAAUUAAAAGACCAUCCUGAUGCAUUUUUACGUACUACUUGUACAUUUAUUUGCUUCAACUUUCAUGUUGACCGGCUUCUAGAAUAGGGAAGAAAAGUCAAGAGAAACCAAAAUUGAGGUAAGAAAGAGAAAAUCACCCGUUUCUGAAAAUCUCGGUAUCCAAAAUAUCCCGAAACUCUACCGAAUUUUUGAUUAAAAAAGAGAAAAAGAAGAAAAGCCAUUUCAAAAUAAAUUAUAUUUUCUAGUUGCGUCAAAAUUUACUAAACUACGGGGAUUUGAUUCUCACCAGAUGUGAGAUACGUAGGCAACCCUCAUCGGGUCCAGCCCCUCUUUUGCAAAAUAACCAAAAAUAUGAAAAUAUAGUCAUUGUGUCAUAAAUAAAGUUAGGUGAUGCCGUUUUUGUCCAAAUAGCCAGAAAUAUCCCAACCGGGCGUCGGAAGGCGGUUUUUGCAAGAAUAGUCGUCUAUGGUCCUUUUUCUAGUUUUAGGCCAUUUAGCAAACACAACCCUAAAAUCUCCCCUUCUGAAUUGCUGAAGGGCUUUAUUUGCAAAAUUAGCCGUGAUUUGUUUUAAAUUAAAAUAAUCUUUUGCUUGGUCAGUUUUCAAACGAAACUCACAUGUUUUAACCAGUCACCCUAAUUUAAAUGUGUAGAAUGAGCACAAUUGAGAACCUACCUUUUUGAGUCGUAGAUGAAAUUCCACUAGGACUCCACAUGUGGUGGAACGACCUGAGGGAGGCCGGCAAACGUUCUGUGACAAAGGCUUUAGGUGGGCUCACUGGUCUUUUGAGAAUUAAACCAAGGGUUGAUAUAAUUGAAGCUUUGAUACCAUUCUGAGACCCGAUACAUAAUGUUUUCCACUUCUCUGAUUUUGAGCUGACCCCUACACUAGAGGAGAUAGCAGGUUAUGCUGGUCUUGACGGGAAUCUCAAGCAUCGAUAUCCAGUAGCACCAAGAACUGUGACCCCUCAUAAGUUUUUGGACCUUCUAAGUAUUAGCCGACAGGUUAAAGAUGAAAAUUUGGCCAGAAGAUUCUGUACAUUCCAUUUCUUAUAUAGCCGGUAUGGGGACCCCUGCGGAUUUGAGGCUCCGGACACUAGUUUGAGUCAUCAGGGAAAUAAAAAAAAAAGGGAAGCACAUAGAGGUUUGGCCUUUGUAGUGGCAUUUUUAGGCACUCUGAUAUGGCCAAGGAGUGACAGACAUAUAGAACUGGGCCUUGCAGGAAUAGUCGACUUUAUGGUCAAAAAGGCCAAUGGCACUACCAUACCGAUGACUCUCGUAGAAAUUUACCAAGCUUUAACCGCUUGUCGAGCUGGGACAAAGUUUUUGAGGGUUGCAACUUGCUUUUGCAAAUAUGGCUGGUAGAACAUCAUUGUCAUCGCCCGGGUACAUGAACUACGGUCUGACCGGACUCAAUGGCAUUGAAGAAUAUGGAAACAAGGUAAACGGUCAUGAGUUUCCAGAAGGUACUGAGGCAUGGUUCGCGUAUUUGGGUUAUUUGACCGCAAACCGAGUUGAGUGGAUUUUCGGUUGGCUCCCGGUCAUGUCUGCCGGAGUGUGCUACCGGAGUGUGCUUUCUUUUAUUGAUGGGUCUUUGGAGUAUUCAGCCGGAUGCUCCGCAUCGGGUCCUACGACAAUUGGAAAGAUACCAAACAGUCCCUCAUGAUGAAGAUUUGAGUCCAUAGGUUAUUGAACUAUGCCCAAAGCCACAUUCCCAGAAGAAAAGGUUCGCCAGAUUUGGCACCAAUAUAGGUUUUUGGAGCAACAGAAUCAAGUACGUGAUUUGUUCACGGGUGAAGUAGAAUCCAACUACACCGCAUGGUAUGGUAAGAGAGUUUGGGUCGAUCAAGAACCAGAACAGCCGGCCAAAAGGCCCCAUGUCCAACAAUUCACCAACGGAGCGCGAAAACAAUGGGUCUGGUUAGCUAAAGAGAAGGGAUACAAGACUACCAUAAGCAAGCUAGAGGAUCAAAUCAAAAAAGUCAAAUUUGAUUGUAGUUUGCAGGCUACUGAGGAUAAAGGAGAAAAUAAAAGGUUGGCUCGAGAAAAUGAAGCCCUCAGAUCUCAGAUUCAGAAGAUGAAAAUAGCCGUUGAAAACCCGGCAAGAAGCGAAAAAGACGAAAAACGCAUAAGCAAUCUGAGACGAAAAGUGAAUGAUUAUGGGUUUGAUAUGGAAAAGGCCAAGGAUGAAUUGGCAAAAGCCUGGGCAAAGUUAGCAAAGAAUGCAGAAGAACGGACAAGGUUUGCUCAGCAGUUAAAUCAAAGGUAUGAUGAAAGGGUCACAAUCUUAAGGAAAAAAUGACUAAUCUCGAGAAUAAAAUGGUCUAGCAAGCAAAGGAUUUCAAAAGAGAGAGAGAUCAUUGCUAUACAAUGAUCUCCCAAUUAAAGAAGAUAUACAGUAGUUUCAAGACCAAAACCAUACGGCCACGCAGGUGUUGGAAGCCCGGUCUCAGCAAAUUGGACGCCUACUCCAAGAAAAGGGUGUCAUUAGAAUGAAGAUUAAAGAAAUUGCUGAUUAUGUCGCAAUGAAGUGUCAUGAAUGCGAAGAUUUGACUAGGUCCAUGUUCUUUGCUGCUGUGAUGACCUUUGUCCGUCAGGUGAUAGAUGAUUUAGAGUACCUCCAAGAAUAGAUUACACACAGGCCCGCAUCAAGACUGACUGAUGUCCCGCGGGCCCCUAGAGUAGCAUUGGAGGCUCUUAUAUAUCCUGUUUUUCUUUUGGCUUUGAGUCUGUAUUUCACCUUUUCGAGUCUGUUAGUGUUUCCAAGUCUGUUUAUUUUUCUAUUUUGAGUCUGUAUGUCAGGUCUUUGUAAUUGAAAAACCCAAAAAGAUUUUAUUUAAUGAAAUAUUGAAAACCGAAAAUUUUCUUUUCUUUUAUUUCACAUUUAUUCCCUGAACUAUGUAAUGAUUUGAUUAAUGCAGCAUCGUGAUACAUAGGCAAUCUCUAUCGGAUUCGAUCAUAGCUAUAAAAAUCCGAGUGAAAAAUAAACUAAAAAAAGGUGAAAAGAGAGAGAGAAAAGAAAGAAAAAAAUUUGAGUGAAACGAAAGAUAAGAUUGAAGAAAUAAAAGAGCAAAAAAUAGCAAAAGAGGAAGAAAAAGAAUCAAGAUUCGAAAUUUGAGAAAACAUAUAGUAAAAGCCGGGAUAAAAAAUACUGUCGUUGCAAAACAUUUAGAAACGUUUAACUGUUCAGGUGCAUUGCAUCCCCAAUAUGCGAUUCCUAAUCUGUUAAAUUUUUCAAACUAACUGGUUUGUUAUGUGGCAUUAUACAUGUCCUGUUUUAGGUGGUUGAUUUUGUGGUAGUCUAGCUUCCCAUCCUUACUUCACAAGAUCCAAAGGCAGCAUUCCCAUGGCUUCCAAAAGUCAUCUACCAAUUAUUAAUCCUCCAGAGGAUAGCUCGGUAUCGGUUAUCCCAGUGUCAGAAUCAACAACUGCUGGAGAAAACAGAAUGUUGCAUUAUCGUAUGUUAGAGAUAUGGGACACUUGGUCUAAUGGCAAAGAACACCCCGGUACAAUCCCCUAAUUUCCUGAACUACUUCCCAGGGCAAACAGAACCUCCAACGUCCCUAUUCUCAUAACCAAUCCAUUCAUCUUGUUUGGGUACCCUACUAUAUCAGCUAAUUUCACUUGUAAGCCUUCUGAGGUUCGCCCUUAGGCACCAUUUCCAGGAGUAUCUCCUACAAUUCACCACACCACCAGUCUCUACUACGGCACAACCAACAGUGUUCGGACCAUAUUUCGAGCCUCCCGCUUUCACUUUUCAAAUACCAUAAUAUCAGCUAGACAUAGUCAUGUCACCUUAAACUCCUAUCCUCAGUACCCAUGAUACGAGUCUCCAGUAUAACAGGAAAGAACAGCAAGAAACCCCGAGUAAGAAGAAAUGGAGAAAAUGAAAAGUCUUGAACAAAGUCUUAAGAACAUGCAAGGCCUGAGUGGCCAAAAGAGUGUUUCAUACUCCGAUCUGUGCAUGUUUCCUCGUGUUUAUUUUCCCGUUUGCUUUAAAAUGCCAAAAUUCAAGAAAUACAACGGGCAUGGAGACUCGAUCGCUCAUUUGAAAAGAUAUUGUAAUCAAUUGAGAGGGCGGGUGGAAAGGAAGAACUUUUGAUGGCCUAUUUGGGGGAGAGCUUGACAGGAAUUGCAUCAGAAUGGUACAUGGACCAAGACAUCUCCCAUUGGCAUAUAUGGGACGACCUAGCCCAAGAUUUCGUCAGGAAAUUUCAAUACAAUGUCGAUAUAGCCCCAUAUAGGAAUUCUUUGACCAAUUUCAAGAAAAAAACCGCGGAAAGUUUCCGUGAAUACGCUAUCAAGUGGCGUGAGCAAGAUGCUCGAGUAAAACCACCUAUGGAUGAGACAUAAAUGGUAAAUGUUUUCUUGCAGGCCCAAGAGGCCGAUUACUUUCAAAACAUGAUGUCUGCCAUGGGCAAACCUUUUGCAGAAGCCAUAAAGAUCGGAGAAAUGAUAGAAAAUGGCCUGAAAAUUGGAUAAGUCAAUCAGCUUUGAGAGACACUUCCCAAGCCAUCCAUAACGACUUAAGAGGUUUAGCAAAUCGAAAGUAGAGGGAAGAAGGAGCCAUGAUGGCUUCAAGUUCGAGAAGCUCUCGUCGAUCCCGUGAUUAUUCUUACCCGCCUUCCAGAACCCCACAACACUACUACCCUAUCAAGAUGCAACAUAUGCCAUGGCACCGCCUCCCUAUGUGGUGAUGAAUGCCCAAUCCUAUACACGGCCACAUUAGCACUACGACAGAAACAGAGCUCCACCUCCAAGAAAUAACCAUCCUCACCAAGCUCCAUAUAACCCUCGUCCACCACAGAACAUCUACCAACAUAAUACACACCAUCGUGAGCCUCCCCGGAAAAGCGACUUCACCCCUAUUCUUGAAUCCUAUUAUAGCAUGUUUUUAAAAUAAAUCCAGAUGGGUCUAUUGCAACAUGUGCCUCCAAACCGGCAACAUCCAGAAUCUCCAUCAUACCGACCUGGUACCGAGUGUGCUUAUCAUCCGAGUGUAGAGGGUCAUGAUACAGAGGAUUGUUGGACUUUCAAGAGGACAAUUGAGAAUUUGAUAGAACAAAAACGAGUGGGGCUGAGGGAUGAGGAAGUUCCUAAUGUGACUAACAAUUCAUUACCGGCUCUCAACAAUGGGCGUCAUUGGAAUGGUUUAUGAUGAUAAAGAGUUUGAUCUCACCUUGAAACCUAUCAUCGCCAUUGCUGAUUCGGAGGCAAGACCUAAAGCGGUGCUGAAACAGUCCAGAAUGAGAAGAAGAAAUCACGCCAACUCCUCAGGUUGCAGAAAAAGCCGUGGAAACGAAAAUCGGGGCAACACCUGCUAAGGACGCAAUUCUUUACGUUCCUAGGGCCACAAGGAAAGAACAACUCAUGUAUUUGAGCAAAAGAAAGUCAUGCUGAAUGUGCCAAAGAUAUAUGUGCCAAAAAGGACUUAUGUGGCGCGGGGCUAAUAAUUUUACCAAGACUGACUGAUCCCAUGGUUAUUAGCCAUGCACCCAGAGCCCUAUGAGAGACCCCACUGCAAUUCCCUAGAACUAUAGCAAAACAGUGGUUACUUACAAGGGGAAAGAGAUUAUGGGAGAAGUGAAUGAAAUGAACCAAUCUGGGAAGUACCACAACCCAAAGGAGCUAAAGAGAUCAAAACUGAACAAGGAGAUACGGUUUCCACCCAAGACGUCUGUGAGUGCUGAAGAGGCAGAAGAGUUCUUCCGAAAAAUGAAAACUUUGGAAUAUGCCAUAAUUGACCAACUCCGGAAUAAUCCUUCCUAGGUUUUGCUUUUAUCCCUGCUAUUGAGCUCAAAUGAAUAUUAGAAGGUCCUUUUGAAAACAUGUAGAAACUUCAGUGGAACAAUUGGAAUGAAUGGAUGAAUGUUUCUUCGCAGUUAACAGGAUUUCUUUCAGUCAUGAUGAAUUGCCCCAGAGGGAGCCGCCCACAACAAAGCCCUUCACUGACUGUCAAAUGCGAAGGUGAUUAUCUGAAGAGGGUCAUGCUAGACGGUGGGUCCGGGUUUGACAUUUGCCUUCUCUCAAUGCUUCAGAUUGGAAUAGAAGGGAUUCAACCAAACAAUGUCUAUAUGUACGCUUUUGAUGGUGUCAAGCGUGAUACAAUAUGGGAAAUUGACUUGCUUCUGACCAUUGGCCCUGUGGAUUUCCAAGUGACUUUCCAGGUUCUAGAUAUGGAUACUUCAUAUAACUUUCUCCUAGGAAGACCACGGAUUCACGCUGCAGGGGAUGUGCCCUCCACUCUCCACCAAAUGGUCAAGCUUGAACAUGAAAACCAAGAAAUUUUUGUCCACGGGGAGGAUGAAAAAUCCAUUUACAAGGACCCGUCGGUCCCAUGUCUUGAAGCUAGAGAAGAAGUGAGAACAUUGUUUAUCAAGCCUUCAAAAUUAUGGUCGCCGACCAAUGCGAAUAAGGGGCCCCGUUUCCUCAACCUUGCUUAUCAAAUGCAUCGGUCAUGGUAAAGGGCUUGGGGUAUCUCUACAAGGCAUCAUAGAGACCAUUACUUCGACCGCCAAUAAGAAGUUCUUCGCCGUAAGUUUCCAAGCUACAAGUGCCAACAUAAAAUGGGCUGAUGAGCACAAGAAAAAUGGGUGGAUCCUGCCUCAGUCUGUUCUGCAUCUCGCCAAGUCAUUUGUUAAGCCCAAGUAUGAAGAAGGGGAAGAAGAGGCCUUCACGGCCGAGGAGGUUGAGGAUAUUUGUGAAGCAAUAAAACAAAAUGUUGUACGAGUCCCACAUGGUCCAGCCGGGAGAAGGAACGAGCACUGCUGAGGUGCUAUACAUGGGACCAAAUGCCAAGCUUCAAAAUUGGAAGGCUACCCCAUUACCUGUCACACGGGAGUCCCGGUAGUCCGGUCUUGCCAUCUUUUCUAGAUUAUGAGUUAUUUCAGGGUAUAACUCAAAUGUUUUUAUUUUAUUAUCUUUUGAUUUCGAUGUAAACCCUCCUAUCUUCAAAUUCAAUGAAAUGAAAUCAAUAUUUCAUCGUCAAUGGAUUUCUCCUUUUUCGUUAUUUUGAUUUUGUCAUUUUUCUUAUCUAUUUCUUUUCAGUUCUAAUAAUGCGGACUUAAAUAACAUGACAUGCUUGCGGACUUCAUGCCCAGAUCCUUAAAUUCUGUCUAACUCUGAAAUAAUGAAUCAAGAACCAGAAUAUGACGAAGAUAAGGCUUUUAGGGGAAUAAAUCGAGAAUUGGAGCAAUUUGAGAAUAAUCCUAAGCCAAACUUAAAUAAAAUCGAGCCAGUUAAUUAGGGUAGUCUAGAAGAGGUCCGGGAAACCAUGAUAAGCAUUCACGCAGAUGAAAGAACUAGAAAUGCAUUGAUCCAACUUUUGUUUGAAUUUAAAAACAUGUUUGCAUGGUCCAAUGAUGAUAUGCCAGGACUGAGGAGGAGCCGGUAGCUAUUCUAGACUGGCAGGUUCGUCAGUUAAGAUCGAAGAAUUUCCCUUCAAUUCAUGUGUAGUGGAGAGGUCAGCCUGUUGAGGCAGCGACCUGGGAGUUCGAGUCCGAUAUGCGGAGCCGAUAUCCCCAUUUUUUAUCCGACUCAGGUACUUUUUUAUGUCCGUUCGAGGACAAAUAGUUAUUUUAGAGAUGGAGAAUGUGAUGACCCAAAAGGUCAUCUCUUUUUUUCGAAGUCAAAUCUGUGUUCUGAGGCCUUAAAAACCUCCUUUUGUCUUACCUUGAUUUGCAUGCAUAGUCUGGGCACGUUUCUGCAAAGCUUUUAUGUGAACUUUAAGGGAAAUAUUGAAAUUAGCCUUUAAAAUUAAUUAAAGUUGACAUAGGUCAACAUUUUUGGUAAAUGGACCUGGACCCGUGAUUUGACGGUCCCGUAGGGUCUGUAGUAAAAUAUGGGACUUGGGUGCAUGCCCAGAAUCAAAUUUCGAGGUCCCUAGUCUGAGAAAAGAGUUUUUAAAGAAAAUUAUUUACUGGAAAAUAUAAAGACUUUUGGAAAUGAUAUGAUGUGUGUUUUUGAUGGUAUUGGGCCAGUACUUUGGUUCCGGAACCCGGUAUAGGUUUAAAAUAAUAUUUAAGUUAAAUCUGUGAAAUUUGAUAAGAAUCAGAGUUUAUUUGAUAUAAAUCGGACCUUAGGUUGAGAAAAUGGAAAACUUGAACUAUCUUAUGAAUUUCAUGAUUUUGAGGUUGAAUUCAUAGUUGUUGAUGUUAUUUUGAUGAUUUGAUCGUACGAGCAAGUUCGUAUGAUGUUUUUAGAUUUGCGUACAUGUUUGGUUUGGAUCCCCGAGGGCUCGGGUGAGUUGUGGAUAGGGUGGUGAUUUUGACUUAGGAAAAUGCAUCUGUGCAUCUGGUAUUUUUGCAGAGGCCUCUGAUCUCACAAUUGCGAGAUUAGGCUUUGCAAUUGCAAAGUGAUCAGGCUUGGGAAAUGCGACCAAUAUGUCACAAUAUCGAACCAGGCCUGGGCAGGCCCUCAUCGCAAAUGUGAUCUUAGGUCGGGAAUUGCGAAGGGCCCUCUGUCACAAAUGCAACAUUUUUAUCGCAAAUGCGAAGGUAGCAGAUUUUCAAAGGGUUCGCAAUUGUGAACCCCUGAACGCAAUUGCGAUAACUGCACCUGUUAAAUGGGAUUUUAGACGGGAUUUUUCAUCAUUUUACAACUUUCUCAAACCCUAGAUUUUUCAAAGGCUCAAACUUCUCAAAAUCAUAAGUAAGUGAUUUCUAACUUAUCUUCUUCAAUCUAGUUCAUUCUUUUUACAUAGUUUCACUUCAAAAUCUAGGGUUUUUCAUGGGAAAUUGGGUGUUUUUGGGUAGAAAUUAGGAUUUUUAAAUUUUGGGGGAUUUGGACCUCAAUUGGAGGUCGGGUUUCAAAAUCAAUUGCAUAUUUGAGUUUGUGAGUUAAUGGAUAAUCGGGUUUUGGUUCGAACUUCGGUUUUGACAAAGCGGGACUGAGGGCGGUUUUUGACUUUUUGGGGAAAACAUUGAGAAAUCUCAUGUAUUAAAAUUGGUUUAUUUAUCAUUUAUUGAUGUUAUUAAGUAACUUAUGACUAGAUACAAGCAGAUUCAAAGUGGAACCGAAAGGUAAAGCGGUAAUUGAGACUUGAUUUUGUCUGUGGAAUUAAAGUAAGUAUUUGGCCUAACCUUAGCUUGAGGGAAUAUGAGUUGUGGUCUUAUUUGUUAUGUGUUAGUAUCGAGUACGACGUAUAGGUGUGGUGAUGAGUAUCGAUACGUUGGUGUCAAGCAUUCUCGUGAGUCUUAUACCAUGGUUGUUGUGACUAUAUUAUGCAUUGUCCAUGCUUAAAUUGAUAAUUAUCAAUGUUGAACAAGGCUUAUGAUAAUUUCUUGGUAAUUGACCAUUGUGGAGCAUUAGCUCAAGCUGAGAUUCAUUUUGUAAAGUAACUGUUGAAACGAGAUUGGUUAUAGCUGAUUCCCUUGCGGAGAUGUUAUUGUUUAUAUUGUUGAUUCCCUUGCUAGGGCACAUUGUUUCUAUUGUUUGGGUAAGGAAGAGUGUAAAGUAUGAAGGGUGAUGCCGUGCAUGAUAUUGUAAGUGGGUGUUAAUACACGAAGGUUGAUGCCGUGCCAUGAUUUGAGAGAAUGCACGAAGGGUGAUGCCGUGCCGAUAUUAUGAGAGUUAAUGCACGAAGGGUGAUGUCGUGCCAUGAUUAUGAGAGGUAAUGCACGUAGGGUGAUGCCGUACCAUUUCUGUUGUAUCAUAUGGUGAGAACGAGAGUAAAAGCACAAAGGAUGAUGCCGUGCACGUGUUACUAUUUUCCUUAUUCCUGCUAAUUUAACUAUGGUGUCCUUUAUGCUUCUCUAUUGGUUUAUUGCUAGAACUGAUAUUCCCCGCAGCAUGUCCCCUUCCCAUCUUAUUCUGUUGAUUCCUGUUAUCAUGGUUAUGUUUGUAUAUGAUUUAACUGCAUAGUUUAAAUGGUUGUUGUGUCCUAGCUUCGUCACUACUUCACCGAGGUUAGGCUCGACACUUACCAGUACAUGGGGUCGGUUGUACUGAUACUGCACUCUGCACUCUUUUGUGCAGAUUUCGGUGCUGGACCUGGUGAGUAGCUGAAGUAGCUGCCUUCAGUCUAGGGAGACCAAGGUAGAUCUGCUAGCGUCUGCAGUGCCUGAAGUCCCCUUCCCUGUUUUAGCUUUUUGCUAUCUCUUUUCAUUUCGAGAACAAUUGUACUUUUCUUUCUAGACUAGUGUUUGUAGAAAUUCGUAGUUUUCAUGAAAUUGUGACUCUAGAUUAUGGGUAGACAUGUAUUGGAUUAUUUAAAAUUGUUAUAUCUCUUCC